Molecule: ribosomal RNA, 404 nt
Filed under: Actinomycetes bacterium
Lineage: Bacteria; Bacillati; Actinomycetota; Actinomycetes
Description: Actinobacteria bacterium partial 16S ribosomal RNA
Rfam family: Bacterial small subunit ribosomal RNA
Source: RNAcentral
UGGGGAAUAUUGGACAAUGGGCGCAAGCCUGAUCCAGCCAUGCCGCGUGAGUGAUGAAGGCCCUAGGGUUGUAAAGCUCUUUCACCGGUGAAGACAAUGACGGUAACCGGAGAAGAAGCCCCGGCUAACUUCGUGCCAGCAGCCGCGGUAAUACGAAGGGGGCUAGCGUUGUUCGGAUUUACUGGGCGUAGAGCGCACGUAGGCGGACUAUUAAGUCAGGGGUGAAAUCCCGGGGCUCAACCCCGGAACUGCCUUUGAUACUGGUAGUCUUGAGUUCGAGAGAGGUGAGUGGAAUUCCGAGUGUAGAGGUGAAAUUCGUAGAUAUUCGGAGGAACACCAGUGGCGAAGGCGGCUCACUGGCUCGAUACUGACGCUGAGGUGCGAAAGCGUGGGGAGCAAACAGG